ACCAAACAUUUUUAGGUUGAAAUACAACAGUUAUGAACAAUAUCACUAUUUUUGGUCAAGUGGAUGGGGACUUACACCGAACCGUUCGAUUUCUUCAAGAAAGAAAUGUUAAUGUUGUUAUUCGCGAUGAGCGUGACCUUAAUACUAUUCGCAUUCAUGAGGCAAAGGCAAAGGAAAAAGACAAGGCAAUAUCAAAGGAAACAAAAAAAACUAUUC
Camellia sinensis is the source of this 216-nucleotide non-coding RNA. The record is from RefSeq and is a predicted model, not a curated record. NCBI's taxonomy places the organism in Eukaryota, Viridiplantae, Streptophyta, Magnoliopsida, Ericales, Theaceae.